GUAGCGGCUGAAGCUGCCUUAGAUGUCGCCUUGGCGCUAGUUGCCACCCCCCCACCCCCGCCCUAAUACUCAAGUGCACGCACGCACACACAUACACACACGCUCGCCCACCUUGUCUGGCCCAUCACCCCCAGCCACAGCUGGAGCAGAGGCCCUUAUACGGAAUUUAGGGCACUGCACACAGAAAUUAAAAGAUGGCCUCUGUCAAUAUUUGUAAGGAGGCAAUUCAGACGACUCUCCUCCCCACGUGGGGUAAAAGAAUGAAUAGAUGGAUGGACAGAUGGAUAGACAGCAGGUUCCCAUUCCAGCUGGCUAAUCAGACCAUUCGAAAUCUGCAUUUUGAAAGAAAGGCUGGGAAAAUCACAGAAGGCUGAGGAGUGGAAAGACCAGCCAAACAGCAUGAGUUAAGCUCUAGGAGCCACUGGCCGGGAAACAUCUAACAAGCCUUCAAGAGCUGACUGUGUGUGAACUACCCACCAAUCUCUUGUAAAUUUCAUCCUGACCCUUACUUUCCUUUUUCAACUCCUAUUCCAACAACUUUCAAUAAAAAUGAAGGUUAUUCUGUUACUAUUUUCAGAGCACAUUAAACCUCUAAUUAGAAAUGUGCAUUGCCCGCUUGUGGCUUUAAUUAAAACUAUUGAACCAGUGCCCCUUUGCAGCACAAGUCACUGAUUAUCAGUUUAGAAGCAAGUGAAAGAUCCCAUUUGCCCUCCCUGCGUGGGUCUCUUCCUUUUACAGAGUUUGAUAGCACCUGACAGCCACUGAAAUUUUACUUCUCUGACAAAAUUAUGUGAGAGAGAACUGACAACCUUUUUUUUUUUGACCAGACCUGUAAUUUCUCUUAUCUAGGGAACUUCUAGUUCCUCUGUAACUUAGAUCUUAGCUACCUAAUUCACUAACAGAUUAAGUGAUUUGUUCAAGGUCACAGAGCAAGUAUAGACCUGACUUCAGGUCUUAUCAUCUCUUAAACCAGCUCUAUCCACUCUCAUGCUACCACUUCCCAAGGUAAUAUGAGAAACAACUAAAAUCAGAACAGAAUAUAAUAUAAGGGGGUACCUAGAUGUUUCAUCGGAUAGAGUCUGUAGGUAGUUCUGAGUUCAAAUCUGCCCUCAGACAAGUAAUAUAUCUGUGACCCUGGGCAAGUCACUCAACCCUAUUUGCUUUAAUUCUUCAGCUGUAAAAUGAGCUGGAGAAGGAAAUGGCAAUCCACCCUAGUAUUUUUGGCAAGAAAACUCUAAAUGGUGUCAUGAAGAGUAGAAACUGAGCUGAAACAUCCCAAUAACAACCUCCACCUCCAAAACAUGUGAUUUAAAGAAUGUUAGCAUUGGAAGGAACUCUAUAGUUUGGUCUAGUUCCUAUAUUUUACCAAUCAGGAAACUAAGGUCUAAUAGAGAGAAUGAUUACCUAAAAGCCACAUAAGUGCUUAGAAGAAAAACCAGGAGUAGGGUUUCAUUUGCAUUAUACCACACUAUCUCUGUUGUUGGGUUUUACUCAAUGCUGGAGUGAAAUGACGAAAACUAAAAGAAAUUUAAAGCUUAAAUUGCAUGUUAGAGUCCCAAAAUAAUUUUGAGCAGUGUAAUUUGUUAAAAAUUUAGCCCUUAUAAAAUCAAGCAUUUUAAUUUUGUCUUGGAUUCAGAGAAUAAUUCUUGUUGUUGAUCAGUCAGGUCUGACUCUUCAUGAUCCCUCCUAGGAUUUUCUUGACAAAAAUAUUGGAAUGGUUUGCCAUUUACUUCUUCACAGCUCAUUUUACAGAUGAGGAAACUGAGGCAAAAUGGUUAAAUGAAUUGCCCAGGGUUACAAGGCUAGUAAGGCUGGAGUUGAAUUCAGGAAGAUGAGUCUUCUUGUUUCCAACCCUGAGUGCUCUAUCCAUGGUGCCACCUAGCUGCCCCCAGAGGGUAAUUAAGAACACCUCACUUUUGGAAUCUGACUAACUCAAGGUACUUAAUAGACUUAUAAAAAUAAUCCUUGCAAUAUUUUUCUCCUCUAAUUACAAAGGUGGCUUCUUGAUUCAUGGGCCCUAGAAAAAUACUUGACUAAUGAAUGCAGGAAUGAUUGCUUGUGGGUAGAAUCUCAAAGAAGGUGAGAAAAGAAAAGGGAAAGCUUCUCUCUUCUAUGUUAUGUUAUGGUAUAUUUCAGGUACUUGCAGACUCAGGCUGAUUUUUGGAGGAAAAAAACAAACAAACAAACCUUAUUUAUUUUCCCUAAAAUGAUAUUUUAUCUAUGCCUACCUACCUAUGUCAAGGGUAUUUUGGGGGUAUUGAUAGAGUUUUUAUGUAUAGUAUUGAUUUUUAGGUAUUGAUGCUUGUAUGUCUUGGAGUGGAAUGUUAUUCUCAUUAGUGUUUUACUGUCAAUGACAGUUUUUUCCUGAUAUAAAAAUGCAACAGACCCA
This is a long non-coding RNA of Monodelphis domestica (gray short-tailed opossum), 2389 nucleotides long. RefSeq lists it as uncharacterized. NCBI's taxonomy places the organism in Eukaryota, Metazoa, Chordata, Mammalia, Didelphimorphia, Didelphidae. The record is from RefSeq and is a predicted model, not a curated record.